CUUUGCUGACGAGUGGCGGACGGGUGAGUAAUGUCUGGGAAACUGCCUGAUGGAGGGGGAUAACUACUGGAAACGGUAGCUAAUACCGCAUAACGUCGCAAGACCAAAGAGGGGGACCUUCGGGCCUCUUGCCAUCGGAUGUGCCCAGAUGGGAUUAGCUAGUAGGUGGGGUAACGGCUCACCUAGGCGACGAUCCCUAGCUGGUCUGAGAGGAUGACCAGCCACACUGGAACUGAGACACGGUCCAGACUCCUACGGGAGGCAGCAGUGGGGAAUAUUGCA
Molecule: ribosomal RNA, 282 nt
Filed under: Escherichia coli
Lineage: Bacteria; Pseudomonadati; Pseudomonadota; Gammaproteobacteria; Enterobacterales; Enterobacteriaceae
Description: partial 16S ribosomal RNA
Rfam family: Bacterial small subunit ribosomal RNA
Source: RNAcentral